AACGAACGCUGGCGGCAGGCCUAACACAUGCAAGUCGAGCGCCCCGCAAGGGGAGCGGCGGACGGGUGAGUAACGCGUGGGAAUUUUCCUCAAGGUACGGAACAACUCAGGGAAACUUGGGCUAAUACCGUAUGAUGUCUAGCGACCAAAGAUUUAUCGCCUUGGGAUAAGCCCCGCGUCAGAUUAGGUAGUUGGUGGGGGUAACGGCCUACCAAGCCUGCGAUCUGUAGCUGGUCUGAGAGGACGAUCAGCCACACUGGGACUGAGACACGGCCCAGACUCCUACGGGAGGCAGCAGUGGGGAAUCUUGCGCAAUGGGCGAAAGCCUGACGCAGCCAUGCCGCGUGAAUGAUGAAGGUCUUAGGAUUGUAAAGUUCUUUCGCCCGUGACGAUGAUG
RNAcentral lists this ribosomal RNA (397 nucleotides) under uncultured bacterium. RNAcentral's name for it is "bacterial SSU rRNA". It matches the Rfam family "Bacterial small subunit ribosomal RNA", at positions 29 to 453 of the family's 1533-position model. The record is from RNAcentral.